AGCGAUGGCGGAAGUUAAUUCGAUUGGGUCGAAGUUGGUAUAGGUCUCUAGUUGCGAUUAGAGACGGAUUUGAGUUGUAUGAGUUCUUGACUUGAGGUGGUUGUGUCGGCGGCCGACGACAUGAUGCCAAGAGUCUAGGACGAGUACGCUUGUGUGCUUCCGUCUGAUUUUUGUUGUUGAGUCGUCAUGUGUCGUAAUUCCGACGAGGAAGUUGGUUAAAGUGAUUAA
Molecule: long non-coding RNA, 228 nt
Filed under: Ananas comosus (pineapple)
Lineage: Eukaryota; Viridiplantae; Streptophyta; Magnoliopsida; Poales; Bromeliaceae
Description: long non-coding RNA (ACOM_LNC042794)
Source: RNAcentral